AAUCCAUGAUGUGGACACCUUCUUACCAAAUCCUUAAACCUUCCCAAGCUUUAUGAAGUGUUUCCACAUCCAUCUGAGUAAACAUCUGGAUAUCAUUUCAUAGCUU
Small nucleolar RNA from Hevea brasiliensis (rubber tree), 106 nucleotides. Lineage: Eukaryota; Viridiplantae; Streptophyta; Magnoliopsida; Malpighiales; Euphorbiaceae. The record is from RefSeq and is a predicted model, not a curated record.